This is a long non-coding RNA of Diabrotica virgifera virgifera (western corn rootworm), 1860 nucleotides long. RefSeq lists it as uncharacterized. NCBI's taxonomy places the organism in Eukaryota, Metazoa, Arthropoda, Insecta, Coleoptera, Chrysomelidae. The transcript is spliced from 2 exons. The record is from RefSeq and is a predicted model, not a curated record.
UAUUCAGAUUUUAUGAGACAUUGUAUUUUAUCUAUAUUAAAUAUAGAUAAAAGUCGUUUAAAAAAAACCUGCAAGUAAAAACUUGUAGUGUAAUUUGGUAUAAUAUAGGCUGUUCAAUAAGUUUUGCGGUUCGAUGAGAGAGGACGUUGCUACUAAACCAUUUAGUUUCGACGUGUAGUGAUGUUGAAAAAGUAACUAUUCGUUACAAAGUACUUGUUACUUACGAAUACCGAAAGUAACGAUUACUAUACAGAGAGGCAAAUCGUUACUUUGAUUACUCUGAUUACUUCGUAUCAGAGCCAGAGCUAGUAACGACUAUUGUGUCUACUUUGAUUACUCUGAUUACUUCGUUACUUCAUACCAAUCGUAUUAGAGCGAGUAACGACUAUUGUAUUUACUUUGAUUACUCUGAUUACUUCGUACCAAUCGUAUCAGAGCGAGUAACGACUAUUAUAUCUACUUUGAUUACUUUCAUUACUCUGAUUACUUCGUACCAAUCGUAACAGAGCGAGUAACGACUAUUGUAUCUACUUUGAUUACUCUGAUUACUUCGUACUUCGUUAAGGUCGUUAUUAUAUCGGAAUACCUAUACACAAUACCUACCUACUGAAAAUACGAUUCUCGAUAUGAUUACCGGUACUCAAAUGCAAAAGUAACACAAGUAAUCAUAGUAAUCAAAUCAUUUUUAUCCCUUAAACAGAUUUUUGAAGGUCGUUGUUAUAUCGGAAUACCUAUACAAACCUACCUACUGAGAAAUACGAUUCUCGGUAUGAUUACCGGUACUCAAAUACAAAAGUAAUCCUAGUAAUCAAAUCAUUUUUAUCCCUUAAACAGAUCGGUGAAGGUCGUUGUUAUAUCGGAAUACCUAUAACAAAUACCUACUACUGAGAAAUACGAUUCUCGAUAUGAUUACCGGUACUCAAAUACAAAAGUAACAAAAGUAAUCAUAGUAAUCAAAUCAUUUUUAUCCCUUAAACAGAUCGGUGAAGGUCGUUGUUAUAUCGGAAUACCUAUACAAAAUAGCUACCUACUGAGAAAUACGAUUCUAGAUAUUACCGGUACUCAAAUACAAAAGUAAUAAAAGUAAUCAGAGUAAUCAAAGUAACGAAUGCUGUAAAUGAUUACUUUAUACAAAAUACCUACCUACUGAGAAAUACGAUUCUCGAUAUGAUUACCGGUACUCAAAUACAAAAGUAACAAAAGUAAUCAUAGUAAUCAUAUCAUUUUUAUCCCUUAAACAGAUCGGUGAAGGUCGUUGUUAUAUCGGAAUACCUAUACAAAAUAGCUACCUACUGAGAAAUACGAUUCUAGAUAUGAUUACCGGUACUCAAAUACAAAAGUAACAAAAGUAAUAAUAGUAAUCAAAGUAACGAAUACUGUAAAUGAUUACUUUAUACAAAAUACCUACCUACUGAGAAAUACGAUUCUCGAUAUGAAUACCGGUACAAAAGUAAUCAUAGUAAUCAAAGUAACGAAUACUGUAAAUGAUUACUUUAUACAAAAGUAACGAUUUGUAACGAAUACUCGAAAGUAACUAUAAUCAAGAUCACUAUCGACGUGUCACAAUAUUUUUACAAUGGAAAAAGAUGGCACUGGUAGUGCAGUGAUUAAAUGUUUAUUCUUGGAAGGUAUAAAAGCAAGGGAAAUGUGUGAACAAAUGUUGAAAGUGUAUUCGCGGUGUGCAAGUACUUGGAGGGGAUACGCGAAAGGAUCGUGCGAGAAUAGCGGAGAAAUAUUGUAACUUUCUUAAAUAAUUCAUUGUCAAUUGAAAUUGUCAAAUUGACGUAUAUUUCAUAUCUACUGUCAAUAAAGAAGAAAUAUUAUAUAUUGCUCCACAAUAUUGAUAUGAUAUGCAAUUAU